AGUCGAACGAUGAUGCCCAGCUUGCUGGGUGGAUUAGUGGCGAACGGGUGAGUAACACGUGAGUAACCUGCCCCUGACUCUGGGAUAAGCGUUGGAAACGACGUCUAAUACUGGAUAUGACUGCCGGCCGCAUGGUCUGGUGGUGGAAAGAUUUUUUGGUUGGGGAUGGACUCGCGGCCUAUCAGCUUGUUGGUGAGGUAAUGGCUCACCAAGGCGACGACGGGUAGCCGGCCUGAGAGGGUGACCGGCCACACUGGGACUGAGACACGGCCCAGACUCCUACGGGAGGCAGCAGUGGGGAAUAUUGCACAAUGGGCGAAAGCCUGAUGCAGCAACGCCGCGUGAGGGAUGACGGCCUUCGGGUUGUAAACCUCUUUUAGUAGGGAAGAAGCGAAAGUGACGGUACCUGCAGAAAAAGCACCGGCUAACUACGUGCCAGCAGCCGCGGUAAUACGUAGGGUGCAAGCGUUGUCCGGAAUUAUUGGGCGUAAAGAGCUCGUAGGCGGUUUGUCGCGUCUGCUGUGAAAUCCCGAGGCUCAACCUCGGGCUUGCAGUGGGUACGGGCAGACUAGAGUGCGGUAGGGGAGAUUGGAAUUCCUGGUGUAGCGGUGGAAUGCGCAGAUAUCAGGAGGAACACCGAUGGCGAAGGCAGAUCUCUGGGCCGUAACUGACGCUGAGGAGCGAAAGCAUGGGGAGCGAACAGGAUUAGAUACCCUGGUAGUCCAUGCCGUAAACGUUGGGCGCUAGAUGUAGGGACCUUUCCACGGUUUCUGUGUCGUAGCUAACGCAUUAAGCGCCCCGCCUGGGGAGUACGGCCGCAAGGCUAAAACUCAAAGGAAUUGACGGGGGCCCGCACAAGCGGCGGAGCAUGCGGAUUAAUUCGAUGCAACGCGAAGAACCUUACCAAGGCUUGACAUACACCGGAAACGGCCAGAGAUGGUCGCCCCCUUGUGGUCGGUGUACAGGUGGUGCAUGGUUGUCGUCAGCUCGUGUCGUGAGAUGUUGGGUUAAGUCCCGCAACGAGCGCAACCCUCGUUCUAUGUUGCCAGCGGGUUAUGCCGGGGACUCAUAGGAGACUGCCGGGGUCAACUCGGAGGAAGGUGGGGAUGACGUCAAAUCAUCAUGCCCCUUAUGUCUUGGGCUUCACGCAUGCUACAAUGGCCGGUACAAAGGGCUGCGAUACCGUAAGGUGGAGCGAAUCCCAAAAAGCCGGUCUCAGUUCGGAUUGAGGUCUGCAACUCGACCUCAUGAAGUCGGAGUCGCUAGUAAUCGCAGAUCAGCAACGCUGCGGUGAAUACGUUCCCGGGCCUUGUACACACCGCCCGUCAAGUCAUGAAAGUCGGUAACACCCGAAGCCGGUGGCCUAACCCUU
Molecule: ribosomal RNA, 1372 nt
Filed under: Curtobacterium flaccumfaciens
Lineage: Bacteria; Bacillati; Actinomycetota; Actinomycetes; Micrococcales; Microbacteriaceae
Description: 16S ribosomal RNA
Rfam family: Bacterial small subunit ribosomal RNA
Source: RNAcentral